AACGAACGCUGGCGGCGUGGCUAAGACAUGCAAGUCGAACGGAUUAGCUAAUUGAGUAAUCGAGAAGCUAAUUAGUGGCGAAAGGGUGAGUAACGGAUAGGUAACGUACCCCGCGUUUCGGGAUAGCGUCGUUCACCUUCGGGUGAGCUACCGAAAGGGGCGGUAAUACCGAAAACAUCACUUGUCGAUAGGCAGGUGGUCAAAGAUUUAUCGACGCAGGGGCGGCCUAUCUCCUAUCAGCUUGUUGGUGAGGUAAUGGCUCACCAAGGCUGCGACGGGUAGCGGGACUGAGAGGUUGACCCGCCACAUCGGGACUGAGACACUGCCCGGACCUCCACGGAGGGCUGCAGUAACGAAUAUUGGGCAAUGGGCGAAAGCCUGACCCAGCGACGCCGCGUGCGGGAGGAAGUCUUUCGGGAUGUAAACCGCUGUCAGGGGUAAGAAAGUGCGCUUCGGCGCAUUGAUCUAACCCAGAGGAAGUCACGGCUAACUUCGUGCCAGCAGCCGCGGUAAGACGAAGGUGGCGAGCGUUGUUCGGUAUUACUGGGCUUAAAGCGUGUGUAGGCGGAACGGUAAGCGUCUUGUGAAAGCCCCUGGCUUAACCGGGGAAUUGCUGGACGAACUGUCGUUCUUGAGGCAAGCAGGGGUGCGCGGAACUCUUGGUGGAGCGGUGAUAUGCGUAGAUAUCAAGAGGAACGCCGGUGGUGAAGACGGUGCACUGGGCUUGUUCGGGGGCCUUGAUGUCCUAGUGGCAUCUUGGAACCCUUCUGACGCUGAGGCACGAAAGCGUGGGUAGCGAACGGGAUUAGAUACCCCGGUAGUCCACGCCGUAAACGAUGUCUACUAGGUUGUGGGUGUUCUGACACAUUCACGGCUGAAGCAAAAGUGUUAAGUAGACCGCCUGGGGAGACGGUCGCAAGGCU
RNAcentral lists this ribosomal RNA (923 nucleotides) under uncultured Planctomycetota bacterium. RNAcentral describes it as "bacterial SSU rRNA". It matches the Rfam family "Bacterial small subunit ribosomal RNA", at positions 28 to 895 of the family's 1533-position model. Lineage: Bacteria; Pseudomonadati; Planctomycetota. The record is from RNAcentral.